AGGCAAAUGGAUGGAACUAGAAAAUAUCAUCCUGAAUGAGGUGACUGCAGAGACCAGAAGAAAGCGUGGAAUCUCCAGGGGCUGGAGCUGAUUGUCAAUUGCCUGAUGUCGGUGAUGGGAACUAAAUCCAGGACUUCGUGAAAGCAGUACUAGUUUUAACUACUGAGCCCUUUCUCUAGCCCACUUGGUGGUGGUGGUGGGCCUGUGAAGCAUUUUGACUGUUUGUUGCAAUCCCCCCAACACGUGACAUCAUAUAGGGUCCCUGGUGAGCCGUCAAUGACUCUAUACCUCUGUUCCUACAGAAGACACAGAGAUCUUUAAUAGCCGUUGUUCCACCUCUUUGCCCUGGACCAAGGCCUCUGAACCCCAGGCUAGGUAGUUACCUCUGUCUUUCCUCUGGUGGUGCUCUCUGCAGGACCUGCCUCCAGUGCUUUUUGGGUCAUCUUGGGAAGCGAUUUUGGUUCAUGAAUCCCAGGAUCUUUGUCUACAAAAUGACCUGAGGUAGAGUGGCUUCAUAAGCACUCGGUGACCAUGAGGUGGAGCCUGAUGGAUGUGGGGUCACUGUUGUUGCAUCUGCUGGCCACACACCUGCAGAGUUGACUAUUCAAUUGAGAACUAGGCAGACCCCUCUAUGAGUAAAUUGAAUGGAGCUUGGGUUGGAACAAAACCCUCAAAUAGCUGUUGCAGGCACAGGCUGGGUUCUAAGGCAAAACAAAGGGACACUUGGCUAUUCUUUCUCUAAACUGAGCUCCUGGGCCCUUCAGCAUGUGUGAUAGGGGUCAGUCUGGAAGAGUGGGGGAGCAGGCCAGGUUCAUAUCUCCCCAUCUAGGAGCCCUGGCAGGGCUGAGGCCAUGGAUUACUUUGCUUGUAUCCUCAGAGCUCAACACAGGGCAUGGCACAGAACAGGCACUCAUUAAUCAAGUUUAAGUUAACAAAUAAACAUAACCCUGGGAAGAGAAUUUCUGUUCUCAGCCUCUGCUUCCUUGUCUACAAAAUGAGGAUGAUGGUAUUUGACUCAAAUUCAUUGUGAGACUAAAACUACCAGCCCAGGGUUGGUGAAAUAGCUCAUCAGGGAAGGGUAUGUGCUGCCACGCCUGAGGACCUGAAUUCAGUACUCAGAACUCAUGCAGUAGAAGUAGAGAACUGACUCCUGUAAUUUGUCUACACACACACACACACACACACACACACACACACACACACACACGUAAGGAAAAAAAAUCAGGUUUGUCCAAGAGACUCCCAAACCUUAUUGGAUAUUGCUAUCAACCUUGGGUUUUCCCAAGAGGUGGAAGGCAAAUCUGUAUUGCUAAAGACACUAUGCACCUCAGAUAUAGGGCUCAGAGAUUCCUGAGUUGGAACUGACCUGAAAGCCUUCUAUUCUGAGGACUAGCUUUCAUGAUGACACAUGGUACCUGCAAGCUUCCAAAGGAAGGAAGUAACCGACAGUACUACUCAGCUAUGGCGCUUAUAAACCACCACAACAAACAACAUUGCAUCAUAAUCCUAGUGUACUAGAGGUACUUAUACCUGGGUGGAAACCAAAAGGGUCUCUCAUUGGACUGAAGACCCAUUCAACAAUUGGGAAAUCUUACCUAGUACUGGAAAAGUAGCCUACUACCCAGACUAAUGAAGUCAUGAAUCUUGGAGGAGAACCUACAACCUCUAAUUUACUAAACUAGCAUAUUCCAUAACUACAUUAUGAAUCUUUGUCCUAAUACCCACAGAUAAACGUCGUCCUCACCCCUCAUCAAGGGAACUUCUCUUUGCAACAAACAAGAGACCGUUAUAGAAGAGAACCAACCAAAAUGCAGGGUUGUAGAGCUCAGUCCAAAGAAUGCAUCUAUGAUACAACUGCCACACUUAAGGCUCUGGGAUCAUUGCAGAAAAGGGGGCAGAAUGACUGUAAGAGCCAGAGCAUAGAGAGUUUGAGGUGAGAUUGUCUCAUUGUGAGAUCUCUUUAGAAUGUCAGAAGCUGCAUCCCUACAGUUUCACAGCAUGGCUGCCUGAAAAAAAAAAA
This is a long non-coding RNA of Mus musculus (house mouse), 2020 nucleotides long. RefSeq annotates it as RIKEN cDNA 9130410C08 gene. The record is from RefSeq and is a predicted model, not a curated record. Lineage: Eukaryota; Metazoa; Chordata; Mammalia; Rodentia; Muridae. The transcript is spliced from 2 exons.